Molecule: ribosomal RNA, 208 nt
Filed under: uncultured bacterium
Lineage: Bacteria
Description: partial 16S ribosomal RNA
Rfam family: Bacterial small subunit ribosomal RNA
Source: RNAcentral
UCUGCCCUGCACUCUGGGAUAAGCCUGGGAAACUAGGUCUAAUACCGGAUAUGACAUGUCACCGCAUGGUGGUGUGUGGAAAGUUCUGGCGGUGCAGGAUGAACCCGCGGCCUAUCAGCUUGUUGGUGGGGUAGUGGCCUACCAAGGCGACGAUGGGUAGCUGGUCUGAGAGGAUGAUCAGCCACACUGGAACUGAGACACGGUCCAG